AUUUUUCCCCAAUCUGAAGUUCUGCCAGCUGCAGCAUCUAAUCAUCCCUGGCUGUGCCUGUUAAGUAUUUAAAGGCAUUUCUGAUGCUAGCUGCAUCUGCCCAUAGUACCAGCAACAUGCACUGCCUCAACCAUGAUCACUAUACAGGCCCAGCCUGUCCUUGCAAGGAUGUUGGGUGGAUCAGGAUGUUGAGUGCCCACAGCUUUAGAGGAGAAAAGCCUGGAUGCCUGGAGUCUCAAUGAUGCAGAAAAACUGGAUGGAAUCUCACUGGAAGAGCAUCCUGAAGUUGUGAAAAAAUGGAGAGUGGAGCGGAGAACAGAUCCUUCUGAUGGAAGCCAGCCAGAGGAGCCUUUU
RNAcentral lists this long non-coding RNA (354 nucleotides) under Numida meleagris (helmeted guineafowl). Its description in RNAcentral is "lncRNA (ENSNMEG00000021903.1)". The record is from RNAcentral. Lineage: Eukaryota; Metazoa; Chordata; Aves; Galliformes; Numididae.